UUUUUUUUUUUUUUCACAGGAGAAAAUUAAAGCUUUAUAACAUGUAUACAUGGGAGAGGCCCAGGCAAACUGAGAAACUCACCAAAAUGGCAGAAUUUCACCCCUUAAAUACCACCCUCAGCUAAAGACAAAGGAGGAUGUUGAGCGUGGGGGAGUCAGUUGUGGAAGAUCACCAGAAAAGCACAGUAAACAAGAGUAAGGCUAUCAUGCAGAUUUAAGUCCUUGCCUUCUGCAUUAAGAGUUUCAAGAGAUGAGGUCAUCCCCCUUUUUCCUAGUACAGAGGGAGAAACAUUUACAGAAGGAGAUUUCCUUUACAAAUGUAAAUGUCUCUUAACGAAGGGUAACUUCCGCUUCUCAGAGUUUCUCUCCUGUCUGCAGUUUUUUUUUAAGUAACCAGCCCAAAAUAAUCCUCAUGCCAAAGAGACAUAUCUUAUCUUGGGGUGGCCAAUUCCAGUCCCCCACAGUCCUGCCUUUGAAACUUUUAAGUUUCACAGUUCUUUGAAACUUUAAGAAAUUUCAUAGUCCAGAAGCUGAGUGGCAGAUUGUUGCAUCCCACUGAACACAUUUCUUAGUCCUGAUAAUAGAUCAGUCCAGUUAAAUUCAUUUUAGAAGGCAGUGAUGCAGGUUGGCUCCCAAAGUGAGGCCUAUAUUAUGUCUCUGAUGAUGUCAUCAGGCAUUCGGGUAUCUUUCAGAGUGGCUUACAGCUUACACAGCCUCACACAUGAAUCUCUCUUAAGUUUGUAUCAAGUUGUUAAGCUUCAGUUUGCAAGUCUUCAGGAAAAAGGUCAGGUUCAGUUCUCAAUGAUUCAGGUGAGAUUGCUGGAAUCUCUGUAAACAAGGUACCAGGUCAAUAUUUCCAAGUGGCUUUAUUCCACAAAGUCCAAUCUUUGUUCCUGAAAAGCUGUCUUGUCAUAUCUGAGCCUGUGUGUUUCUCUCCAAUGUGAUAGUCCAGUCAAAGCAAAGUGUUUCCAAAUUCUGGAGGGAUCAGGUAGGGAGAAAAAUAUAAAUGUUUCAGUUCUGCUCACAAAGGUAUAAUUUCACCAAGUUGUCAUCAGUUCGUAUGGUCCUGUGUAAUCGAUUCUUUUUGGUCUUAAUCUUCUUUAGCAGUUUUACGGGGUCAUCAGUUUCUCCAUUAGACUUCUCUAAUUUUGUAGCCAGUUCAGUUUUAUAAUCAGAAAGCAUAUCAGAAACCUGCAUUCCAGAGUGAGUGUCAGAGUUCUUUCCAUGAAUCUCUCAGAAGACAAGACAUAUUUACAAAAGCAAAAGCAUCAAAGGAAAACAAUAACUGUCUGUAAAUGACAAAAGAUUUAAUGACAAUUCACAAGGAAAUUUGGUUAUUUCUGUGGUAUACAACACCUUAAAAUAAUAACUAGAAUUAUGGCUGACAACGAGGACUAAUCAGAAUUUUAGGAAUAUUAUAAAUUUCAAAACAUUUAUAUCAAUAACAUUUACACACAUAAUACCACCUAAGAAACUUUAUCAUUACUUAUCUGACAAUGCUUCCCAUGUAAUUUAACAGACCAAAUAAACCUAAUUAGUUUAGAAUCUUUCUCCUUAUAGGAAGAGAGAGCAAAUUUCUCUGAGAAGUCCCAGGGGCCCUCUGAAAAUCCCUAGAGAAAUUCUCUUUCUUCAUCCAGGUCAAAAGAAAGCCGUUAUUCAGGACUUGAAUAUUUUUUGAGGGAGAAGCUUGUCAAAAAUACCAAAAGGCAGGGCCAGCCCAGUGGCACAGCAAUUAAGUUCACAUGUUCAGCUUCUUGGCAGCCUGGGGUUCGCUGGUCCGGAUCGCAGGUGCAGACAUGGCACCGCUUGGCAAAAGCCAUGCUGUAGUAGGCGCCCCACACAUAAAGUAGAGGAAGACGGGCGUGCAUGUUAGCUCAGGGCCACUCUUCCUCAGCAAAAAGAGGAGUAUUGGCAGUAGUUAGCUCAGGGCUAGUCUCUUGCUGCCUCUCAUCAGGGGUCCAGGAUCUCUUGGCUGCAGCAGUCCAGGAGUGAGCAGUGUCCAACCAGUGAAAUUUUAUCCCAUCCAAGUCACCAAACUGUAGGGGAGGAAGACAUUUCCUCUACAUGUUCUGGGUCCUCCUGGCUGGACAACAAAUUAAAUUCACAUGAGACAGAAUAACAGGAGAAAAUUAAACAAAGCUUUAUAACAUAUACACAUGGGAGAGGCUCAGGCAAACUGAGAAACUCC
This is a long non-coding RNA of Equus caballus (horse), 2188 nucleotides long. NCBI's taxonomy places the organism in Eukaryota, Metazoa, Chordata, Mammalia, Perissodactyla, Equidae. The record is from Ensembl.